UAGUGGCGAACGGGUGAGUAACACGUGGGCAAUCUGCCCUGCACUCUGGGACAAGCCCUGGAAACGGGGUCUAAUACCGGAUAACACUGUCCCCCUCCUGGGGGACGGUUGAAAGCUCCGGCGGUGCAGGAUGAGCCCGCGGCCUAUCAGCUUGUUGGUGGGGUAAUGGCCUACCAAGGCGACGACGGGUAGCCGGCCUGAGAGGGCGACCGGCCACACUGGGACUGAGACACGGCCCAGACUCCUACGGGAGGCAGCAGUGGGGAAUAUUGCACAAUGGGCGAAAGCCUGAUGCAGCGACGCCGCGUGAGGGAUGACGGCCUUCGGGUUGUAAACCUCUUUCAGCAGGGAAGAAGCGAAAGUGACGGUACCUGCAGAAGAAGCGCCGGCUAACUACGUGCCAGCAGCCCGCGGUAAUACGUAGGGCGCAAGCGUUGUCCGGAAUUAUUGGGCGUAAAGAGCUC
Molecule: ribosomal RNA, 464 nt
Filed under: Streptomyces sp. 313C06
Lineage: Bacteria; Bacillati; Actinomycetota; Actinomycetes; Kitasatosporales; Streptomycetaceae
Description: bacterial SSU rRNA
Rfam family: Bacterial small subunit ribosomal RNA
Source: RNAcentral